GCGCGGCGAAACCUUCAUUUUUGUGUUUUGUGUAGAGGAGCAUUGGGUUUCCAUUGUGUGUGUACCACAACACAACGUGUAGGAAAAGAAAAAUGAGUGCAAGAUUUGAGUGUGUCGUGGGUCCAGUGAGCGAAUCGUUUCAGUGUCCGCCUCUUCCACAUAACAGUGGCUGCCCUGACCGUCACUCCUCGGCGCUAACUUGGCCACGACAGAGUGACGGUGUAAUGGUGUUUGGACAGCCACUCGCACCACGUCUCUCGUCACCUGUGCCUCAUAACAGUGCCACAUCAUUAAUAGCGUGCAUCGGAGCCACUUUGCUGGGAUACAAUACUAAUGAAACGUUGCCUGAAGUGGUAUCAGGGGCCUAACGCCAUCUACUACCAGGAGGCGGCGGAACUGGCUGUGGGUUACCACUGCUCCUGCCGGCACAGCAUGGGCGGGCAGCAUUGUCACGGUAGUGGUGGGCAGCGUGGCGCGACCAAGCCCUGAGGCGAAGGCCAUGUCGGCAGGCCAGGAGGUGCUAGUGGUGGUGUUCAGCACCGCUAUGCCCGUGCUGGUGUUGGAAUUGGUGUUGGUGAUCGUGUGCAUGAAGCGGAAACGUGUACGUGACUGCCCGUGUCGGGAUGAGGAGGCGCGGCGUCAGAACGAGCAGAACAUGGUGCACAACGCUGUGGGCGCCGUCAAAAGUGUCUGGAUCACCACAUGAUCUAUUCUCUAAACUUCCCCAUCAAGAAACCCUUCAACACCGUGCCACCACCUGCCCCCCCCUUGCAUCACCAACACGACACCCACCUCCACCACCAUCACCUCAACUAUCACGACUACAAGAAUCCCGCGGAGAACGCAUACUCCGCAGUGCCCAUGCGCAGCAGCAGGACUCAACAAGGAUGUGUCGCUGCUCUCGCUGGCUGACCGCCUUGAGAAGGACAUUGAGGCACCGCCCAGCCCCGCGUCACGCCCACCUAGGACUCCAGCGCCCCAUGCAAGGUGUUUCGGAAUUCCUUCCUGCCGCGCACAUACAGCCACAGGCUUGAAAUCAAGCGACCGCCGGCAGAGAGGAGCCUUCUCCUGGACUUUUGACGAGUACCUUGUUGAAGCACAGAACAUAGACAGCGUUGGAAAUUGGACUAGUACAGUUUGACCAGGGUCCAACAUUGCACCAGGAUGAAGUGAUACACGUGUGUAGAGGUGCCAGGAGGACGGACUCUUGGAACAAGCCUUCCGACAACAGUCAUCAGCCAUCAGCCAUCAGGCAAGCGUGGCGGAACCACUCUGUUGAUUUCCAGCAGCAAAACGUGCGGGAAACACACCACCGAGUAGCUUUCACACGGCUGACAGUGUCCACUCAAUCUCUGGCGGUAGAAGUAGUCGGUGGAGGGGGGAGGGUAGGCGAGGACGCAGCCGCUUGCACCUGGAGGAACGUGUGUGUGUGUGCUUGGGGAGAAGUAAUUAAACUAGUUAGGUAGUUAUAGUAGUGUGUGUGUGUGUGUGUGUGUGUGUGUGUGUGUGUGUGUGUGUGUGUGCGUGCGUGCGCGCGCGCUUGGGGAGAAGUAAUUAAACUAGUUAGGUAGUUACAAUAGUGUGUGUGUGUGUGUGUGUGUGUGUGUGUGUGUGUGUGUGUGUGUGUGUGUGGGGAGAAGUAAUUAAACU
Molecule: long non-coding RNA, 1650 nt
Organism: Portunus trituberculatus (swimming crab)
Lineage: Eukaryota; Metazoa; Arthropoda; Malacostraca; Decapoda; Portunidae
Exons: 3
Source: RefSeq, a predicted model, not a curated record